This is a long non-coding RNA of Cloeon dipterum, 401 nucleotides long. RefSeq lists it as uncharacterized. The record is from RefSeq and is a predicted model, not a curated record. The transcript has 3 exons. NCBI's taxonomy places the organism in Eukaryota, Metazoa, Arthropoda, Insecta, Ephemeroptera, Baetidae.
CCUACUCUCGUCAGUGACGUCAGUCUUUAACUGGCAGUGACGGGAGGAGGACGUGCGCGGUGCCGGUCUGCAGCCGCGCUUGAUGACUGAGAGGCCAGCGACCACCAGACGGCCUCCGUGGACCUCGGCUGACCCGCGGCCGACGUCCACAUUUUCGGCCAGCGAAGGAUGACGUGCGUGGUGCUGGUCUGCAGCCGCGCUUGAUGACUGAGGGGCCAGCGACCACCAGACGGCCACCGUGGACAGCGUGGACCUCGGCUGACCCGCGGCCGACGUUCACAUUUUCGGGUUUGCGACCUCGAGUACCAUCCGGACAACCAGUUCCUCGCUUCCUGGAAACGACCAACGAUACUACGUUUGGAACCUUCAUCCCUCCAACCAGUCCCAAUUAUGCUCUUCUU